This 526-nucleotide long non-coding RNA is filed under the name Homo sapiens (human). RNAcentral describes it as "LHRI_LNC1523.8". Lineage: Eukaryota; Metazoa; Chordata; Mammalia; Primates; Hominidae. The record is from RNAcentral.
UGAUAGUGAAUGGGUCUCACAAGAUCUGAUGGAUUUAAAGACGGGAGUUUCUCUGCACAAGCUCUCUCUUUUUGCCUGCUGCCGUCCACAUAAGAUGUGACUUGCUCCUCCUUGACUUUUGCCUUCCACCAUGAUUGUGAGGCCUCCCCAGCCACAUGGAACUACAAUGAACUCCAUCCCUGGCCUUGAGGAAGUCCCAGACCACCGAUGAAAUGCAUGGACAGCAACAGAAGAAAGGACAAUCUGAUGAUUCGAGUCAUUUGGAUAAAUGGACAUAGAUGAUGCCAGAAGCCAUGACUUUCAGCAAACUAACACAGGAACAGAAAACCAAACACCGCAUGUUCUCAUUCAGUCUUGCUCUUUCACCCAGGCUAGAGUGAAGUGGCAUGAUCUUGGCUCACUGCAACCUCUGCCCCCCGGGCUUCAAGAGAUUCUCCUGCCUCAGCCACCCAGGUAGCUGGGAUUACAGGCAUCAUAUGCGCCACCAUGCCAGGCUAAUUUUUGUAUUUUUAGUAGAGACGGGGUU